AUGCGUGAUCAGGUCGGCGUCGACCUGGACGGCUUCUCCCCUCGACCACGAGUUCCCGAACGACUACGGCAAGAGGACGAGUGCGACAUCGACGUGGAUCCUUUGUUCGAGGACGAGCUCGCCAACCAAGCCGCCGAUGCUAAGCCCAAGCGCAAGAGUAAGCGUACGAAGGCAUACACGGCGGCCGAGGAUAAGCUUCUUUGCAAGUGUUGGUGAGACAUUGGACAAGACCCGAAGACGGGCGCCGAGCAAAAGCAUUCGACCUUUUGGACUCGUGUGCACCGAGAGUUCCAUGAGCGCAAGAAGUUUCCACCUUACCAAUUUGUGAGCACGCGCGGGUGGGUCUCCAUUUCCAAGCGGUGGAGGGUGAUCCAACAAGAGCGCAACAAGUUUUGCGCCACCCUUGAGAGCGUCAAGGCCCGCCCCGUGAGCGGCAUCGGCAUGCAAGACAUGGUAUGA
This 459-nucleotide ribosomal RNA is filed under the name Triticum aestivum (bread wheat). RNAcentral's name for it is "partial small subunit ribosomal RNA". Lineage: Eukaryota; Viridiplantae; Streptophyta; Magnoliopsida; Poales; Poaceae. The record is from RNAcentral.